This 797-nucleotide unclassified non-coding RNA is filed under the name Calamagrostis epigejos. Its description in RNAcentral is "Calamagrostis epigeios partial external transcribed spacer". Lineage: Eukaryota; Viridiplantae; Streptophyta; Magnoliopsida; Poales; Poaceae. The record is from RNAcentral.
UUUCGAGAAAUGUUGCCUUCCGAGAUAUGUUGCCUUUCGAGAUAUGUUGCCUUUCCGAGAAACGGUUGAACCCUGGUCUACGGUGACACGCGGCGAGAAGUUGCCCCCUGGCAAGUAUCCCCAACGUCACUAGCGAUUUUGGAGUCCUUCCGAGAAAUGUUGCCUUCCGAGAAAUGUUGCCUUCGGGUAACACCCGCGCGCUGUGGACACUCAGGACGCUACCGUGCAAGUAAUCACCCCGUGCUAUGCGUGGGGGGAGGCUUGGGUGGCUUGACCGCUGUGGCUACGCGAGCGCAUGAGUAGCUUUGGACCCGUGUCUGCCGGUAGGUCCCCCGUCUUUGUGCGGCCGACUACCGGCGCCGUGUCCCGUCAUUUGUGUGGCUUAUGUUACUGUUGCCUUUAAGUGCUUGCGUGCUGGUACCCGACCUACGGGAAGUGGUGCAUCAUACAUGGUUGCCUCGCGGUGGACGCCUUCGGGUGUGCUGCUGCGGCCAAAUGGCGCUUGCGGCGUUGCCUCGUGGUGCUGGCACGUUUUCGUGCCUGGUGCUAUCAGGGCAGCCUCGCUCCCGCUGUUGGUUUUGGAUGUCGCUCACGAUAAAAGCUCAUGGCCCUUUUGGGUUGCCUUGAACUGACCCUAAAUAUGCCUUCCUCGUUGAGAACAACCGUCAGCUGUUGCCUCAACUCGUAGGUGGAUAUUGGCCCGCUCAAUUGCGACAACCGGCCCGGCGGUUGCCUCUGCCUUUCCACGUAAGUGGACGGGCGAACGACUGUCGGCGCUGGACGUCAAAGAGGACGUG